This 32-nucleotide non-coding RNA is filed under the name Syntrophotalea carbinolica DSM 2380. The record is from RNAcentral. Lineage: Bacteria; Pseudomonadati; Thermodesulfobacteriota; Desulfuromonadia; Desulfuromonadales; Syntrophotaleaceae.
UUUGGUAGGACGUGGCAUGCUCAAUAGGUGGG